GAGUAAUGUCUGGGAAACUGCCUGAUGGAGGGGGAUAACUACUGGAAACGGUAGCUAAUACCGCAUAACGUCGCAAGACCAAAGAGGGGGACCUUCGGGCCUCUUGCCAUCGGAUGUGCCCAGAUGGGAUUAGCUUGUUGGUGGGGUAACGGCUCACCAAGGCGACGAUCCCUAGCUGGUCUGAGAGGAUGACCAGCCACACUGGAACUGAGACACGGUCCAGACUCCUACGGGAGGCAGCAGUGGGGAAUAUUGCACAAUGGGCGCAAGCCUGAUGCAGCCAUGCCGCGUGUAUGAAGAAGGCCUUCGGGUUGUAAAGUACUUUCAGCGGGGAGGAAGGGAGUAAAGUUAAUACCUUUGCUCAUUGACGUUACCCGCAGAAGAAGCACCGGCUAACUCCGUGCCAGCAGCCGCGGUAAUACGGAGGGUGCAAGCGUUAAUCGGAAUUACUGGGCGUAAAGCGCACGCAGGCGGUUUGUUAAGUCAGAUGUGAAAUCCCCGGGCUCAACCUGGGAACUGCAUCUGAUACUGGCAAGCUUGAGUCUCGUAGAGGGGGGUAGAAUUCCAGGUGU
This 572-nucleotide ribosomal RNA is filed under the name Escherichia coli. Its description in RNAcentral is "bacterial SSU rRNA". It matches the Rfam family "Bacterial small subunit ribosomal RNA", at positions 108 to 676 of the family's 1533-position model. The record is from RNAcentral. Lineage: Bacteria; Pseudomonadati; Pseudomonadota; Gammaproteobacteria; Enterobacterales; Enterobacteriaceae.